CGGGGAAGGGGGGGAUCUUCGGACCUCUCGCUAUUAGAUGAGCCCGCGUCGGAUUAGCUAGUUGGUAGGGUAAAGGCCUACCAAGGCGACGAUCCGUAACUGGUCUGAGAGGAUGAUCAGUCACACUGGAACUGAGACACGGUCCAGACUCCUACGGGAGGCAGCAGUGGGGAAUAUUGGACAAUGGGCGAAAGCCUGAUCCAGCCAUGCCGCGUGUGUGAAGAAGGUCUUCGGAUUGUAAAGCACUUUAAGUUGGGAGGAAGGGUAGUAACCUAAUACGUUGCUACUUUGACGUUACCGACAGAAUAAGCACCGGCUAACUUCGUG
RNAcentral lists this ribosomal RNA (327 nucleotides) under uncultured bacterium. Its description in RNAcentral is "bacterial SSU rRNA". It matches the Rfam family "Bacterial small subunit ribosomal RNA", at positions 198 to 507 of the family's 1533-position model. The record is from RNAcentral.